UUGUAGGUGUUGGGCAAAACAAAGCUUCAAAACGCUCGUAUCCACAGAAGGACCCGAGAAGUGAUAAAGAAAAUGAUAGGCGAAAAUGCAUGUAUCCCCAAGCAAACGGAGGAGGCCACAUUCCCCUUUAUUUUACAGGUGUUGGGCAAAAAAAAGCUUCAAAACACUCGUAUCCACAGAAGGACCCGAGAAGUGAUAAAGAAAAUGAUAGGCGAAAAUGUAAGU
Molecule: long non-coding RNA, 225 nt
Organism: Homalodisca vitripennis (glassy-winged sharpshooter)
Lineage: Eukaryota; Metazoa; Arthropoda; Insecta; Hemiptera; Cicadellidae
Exons: 3
Source: RefSeq, a predicted model, not a curated record